AUUCAACAGAAAAGUGCUUCUUAGCCACAAAUUUCAUUAAGAGUCUUGUCUUUGAUUCAAAAAAAGCCAAUAUGUUACAAAAGACUUCCCUUUUUCUCUUUUUAGUUGUAGUUCUAUAUCUCAUGAACGCAUGUUUCUCUCUGGAAGACGACGAAAGAUUUAUGUCAUCAAAGGAUGAAGAAGCCAAGGUUUUUCAGUUAAAGCCGAGGAAGAGGUCUCCGUGUAUUAUCGGCACCCGAUAUCGUAGCAAGCACUGUGUGGGAAAGAGAUUCUUCAAGGAACAAAACCUCAAGAUUACCGAGGAUUCAACAUAAGGAGCAAUCGAUGCUGAAUGACAGAAUAAUUAAAAACAGCAAUAGAAACUAUUUUAAAAGCAACUGCUUCCUCGGACUCCUGAACAAGUUCCCGUCAAGACUGCAAUCUACUGAUAGCUGUAUGCCAAAAAGAUCCGUCGGCUCAACACAUGAAGAAAGACCGUCCGCUAGUCGUUACUGAAUGCAUAUUGGCGGCAGGAGUCUUAUUAUAUAACAAUGUUUUUAGAAAUAUUGUUCAUGAGUAUUAUUUGUAAAGUAAAACUUAACUAAGAAAAUAGAAUAAAAACUUGAUUCCUUA
Molecule: long non-coding RNA, 612 nt
Organism: Pocillopora damicornis (cauliflower coral)
Lineage: Eukaryota; Metazoa; Cnidaria; Anthozoa; Scleractinia; Pocilloporidae
Source: RefSeq, a predicted model, not a curated record